RNAcentral lists this ribosomal RNA (572 nucleotides) under Vishniacozyma victoriae. RNAcentral's name for it is "partial large subunit ribosomal RNA". It matches the Rfam family "Eukaryotic large subunit ribosomal RNA", at positions 64 to 626 of the family's 3401-position model. The record is from RNAcentral. Lineage: Eukaryota; Fungi; Basidiomycota; Tremellomycetes; Tremellales; Bulleribasidiaceae.
ACUAACUAGGAUUCCCUUAGUAACGGCGAGUGAACCGGGAUGAGCUCAAAUUUAAAAUCUGGCGUCUUUCAGGCGUCCGAGUUGUAAUCUAUAGAGGCGUUUUCCGCGCCGGACCGCGUCCAAGUCUCUUGGAAUAGAGUAUCAAAGAGGGUGACAAUCCCGUACUUGACGCGACAACCGGUGCUCUGUGAUACGUUCUCAAUGAGUCGAGUUGUUUGGGAAUGCAGCUCUAAAUGGGUGGUAAAUUCCAUCUAAGGCUAAAUAUUGGCGAGAGACCGAUAGCGAACAAGUACCGUGAGGGAAAGAUGAAAAGCACUUUGGAAAGAGAGUUAAACAGCACGUGAAAUUGUUAAAAGGGAAACGAUUGAAGUCAGUCGUGUGAAAGGUAUUCAGCCGUCUCUGGCGGUGUAUUUGCCUUUCACGGGUCAACAUCAGUUUGAUCCGGUAGAAAAAGGCGGGAGGAAGGUGGCACCCUCGGGUGUGUUAUAGCCUCCUGUCAUAUGUGCCGGACCAGACUGAGGAACGCAGCUUGCCGCAAGGCCGGGGUUCGCCCACGUACAAGCUUAGGAUGU